Molecule: ribosomal RNA, 435 nt
Filed under: uncultured bacterium
Lineage: Bacteria
Description: partial 16S ribosomal RNA
Rfam family: Bacterial small subunit ribosomal RNA
Source: RNAcentral
AACGAACGCUGGCGGCAGGCUUAACACAUGCAAGUCGAACGCGUGCAGCAAUGCACGAGUGGCGCACGGGUGUGUAACGCGUGGAUAUCUGCCUUUUGGUUCGGAAUAACCCCGGGAAACUGGGGCUAAUACCGGAUGGUUCCUACGGGAUAAAGAUUUAUCGCCAAAAGAUGAGUCCGCGUCCGAUUAGCUAGUUGGUGAGGUAAUGGCUCACCAAGGCGACGAUCGGUAGCUGGUCUGAGAGGACGAUCAGCCACACUGGGACUGAGACACGGCCCAGACUCCUACGGGAGGCAGCAGUGGGGAAUAUUGGACAAUGGGGGCAACCCUGAUCCAGCCAUGCCGCGUGAGUGAUGAAGGCCUUCGGGUUGUAAAGCUCUUUUGGCGGGGACGAUGAUGACGGUACCCGCAGAAUAAGCCCCGGCUAACUUCGUG